GUUCUGCUUCUACUUU
This 16-nucleotide small RNA is filed under the name Arabidopsis thaliana (thale cress). Its description in RNAcentral is "ATSL248580". Lineage: Eukaryota; Viridiplantae; Streptophyta; Magnoliopsida; Brassicales; Brassicaceae. The record is from RNAcentral.